UACGAAGGGGGCUAGCGUUGUUCGGAUUUACUGGGCGUAAAGCGCACGUAGGCGGAUCGUUAAGUCGGGGGUGAAAUCCUGGAGCUCGACUCCAGAACUGCCUUCGAUACUGGCGAUCUUGAGUCCGGAAGAGGUGAGUGGAACUCCUAGUGUAGAGGUGGAAUUCGUAGAUAUUAGGAAGAACACCAGUGGCGAAGGCGGCUCACUGGGCCGGUACUGACGCUGAGGUGCGAAAGCGUGGGGAGCAAACCGG
This 253-nucleotide ribosomal RNA is filed under the name uncultured bacterium. RNAcentral's name for it is "partial 16S ribosomal RNA". It matches the Rfam family "Bacterial small subunit ribosomal RNA", at positions 524 to 776 of the family's 1533-position model. The record is from RNAcentral.